Centruroides sculpturatus (bark scorpion) is the source of this 397-nucleotide long non-coding RNA. RefSeq lists it as uncharacterized. Lineage: Eukaryota; Metazoa; Arthropoda; Arachnida; Scorpiones; Buthidae. The transcript has 3 exons. The record is from RefSeq and is a predicted model, not a curated record.
GAUAAGUAAAAGAUUAGAACUAAAGAUGAAAAUUACUUCAAUUAUUCUUAAAGGUUUUUUGCUAGUGAUCAUGCUGUAUUAUUUUGCCAUUGAUUCUGAAGCAGGAGCUUGUUCAAAUAUCUGUGAUAAACUUUGUCCUGCAACGAAAUUUUGCAACAAAAUCUGCCCUCUUCUAUGUGCACCUCCAGCUUCAUAACGUAUCAGUGUCCAAUUUAGACCCAAAAUAAUGCGUAACAUGGCAUUAACAAUAUUAAAAAAAAGGAAAAUCAGAUGAAUAAUUUGGAAUAUUGUGGUCGAUCUGUUUAAAUAUUGAGGGGACUUUACUGUCGAAUAUACUAUUAUGGAUAAUGAAAUAAUGCAAAAAUUAUCUUAUGUAUAAUGAAAAAUUAACGUACUG